GAUGAACGCUGGCGGCGUGCCUAAUACAUGCAAGUCGAGCGAACGGACGAGAAGCUUGCUUCUCUGAUGUUAGCGGCGGACGGGUGAGUAACACGUGGAUAACCAACCUAUAAGACUGGGAUAACUUCGGGAAACCGGAGCUAAUACCGGAUAAUAUUUUGAACCGCAUGGUUCAAAAGUGAAAGACGGUCUUGCUGUCACUUAUAGAUGGAUCCGCGCUGCAUUAGCUAGUUGGUAAGGUAACGGCUUACCAAGGCAACGAUGCAUAGCCGACCUGAGAGGGUGAUCGGCCACACUGGAGCUGAGACACGGUCCAGACUCCUACGGGAGGCAGCAGUAGGGAAUCUUCCGCAAUGGGCGAAAGCCUGACGGAGCAACGCCGCGUGAGUGAUGAAGGUCUUCGGAUCGUAAAACUCUGUUAUUAGGGAAGAACAUAUGUGUAAGUAACUGUGCACAUCUUGACGGUACCUAAUCAGAAAGCCACGGCUAACUACGUG
Molecule: ribosomal RNA, 497 nt
Filed under: uncultured bacterium
Lineage: Bacteria
Description: partial 16S ribosomal RNA
Rfam family: Bacterial small subunit ribosomal RNA
Source: RNAcentral